Molecule: ribosomal RNA, 253 nt
Filed under: uncultured bacterium
Lineage: Bacteria
Description: partial 16S ribosomal RNA
Rfam family: Bacterial small subunit ribosomal RNA
Source: RNAcentral
UACGUAGGGGCCAAGCGUUGUUCGGAUUUACUGGGCGUAAAGGGUUCGUAGGUGGCUCGCUAAGCCAGACGUGAAAUCCCUCAGCUUAACUGGGGAACUGCGUGUGAUACUGGAUGGCUUGGAUUUGGGAGAGGGAUGCGGAAUUCCAGGUGUAGCGGUGAAAUGCGUAGAUAUCUGGAGGAACACCGGUGGCGAAGGCGGCAUCCUGGACCAAUAUUGACGCUGAGGAGCGAAAGCCAGGGGAGCAAACGGG